GUGUGGUAUACGUGUAACCUAUCUCUCUAGAACAGCACUAACCCAGCCGCCCCCCCAAAGCUCUUUCCUCAGACUAAUCUCUCUCUCUCAAUCACCCCAAGCUAUUAUUGAUAACAAUCCCUCCCUCUCUGAUAGUCGCUGCCAUUGACGUCUGACCCCUUUAGUAUUUUCCCUCUAUUCAGUAUCACUGAUGCUAUAACUGCUCUACACUUAUGCCUCUGCAGAUAGAGUCUUGCAUUGAUUGGCUGAGUGACUGAGAGCCGAUAAGAUAGCUGCAGGGAACACAGUGCAUAACAUAUAAUAGAUGUGAUAUUUUCAAGCCAUUUAAGAAUAGAAUACUUCACAGUUAAAAUCAGUUCAACACUGAAGAUCUUCCAUGAAAAAGGAGGGCAAUAUGUAUUUUGUGUAAUUUGAGACACAAUUAGUUUUCACAGCAAAAUGAAAGGCACAUGGUAUGAAUUGUUAUUACAGCGAAGGCUGGGCUUGUUGUGUACCUUCCUUUUUUCGGGGAUUAUUUGUGUCUUAAGUAAUGAGUGAGCUUUGCAUCAACACAUGAAACACAUUCAUUCUGUCAACAGGUAGACAUACACCAACACAUUCUGUCAAUAGGUAGACAUACACCAACACAUUCUGUCAACAGGUAGACAUACACCAACACAUUCUGUCAAUAGGUAGACAUACACCAACACAUUCUGUCAAUAGGUAGACAUACACCAACACAUUCUGUCAAUAGGUAGACAUACACCAACACAUUCUGUCAACAGGUAG
This 768-nucleotide long non-coding RNA is filed under the name Salmo salar (Atlantic salmon). Its description in RNAcentral is "lncRNA (ENSSSAG00000090787.1)". Lineage: Eukaryota; Metazoa; Chordata; Actinopteri; Salmoniformes; Salmonidae. The record is from RNAcentral.